This 460-nucleotide ribosomal RNA is filed under the name uncultured bacterium. RNAcentral describes it as "partial 16S ribosomal RNA". It matches the Rfam family "Bacterial small subunit ribosomal RNA", at positions 338 to 795 of the family's 1533-position model. The record is from RNAcentral.
CCUACGGGUGACAGCAGUGAGGAAUAUUGGUCAAUGGACGCAAGUCUGAACCAGCCAUGCCGCGUGCAGGAAGACGGCCCUAUGAGUUGUAAACUGCUUUUGUACGAGGGUAAACGCAGAUACGCGUAUCUGUCUGAAAGUAUCGUACGAAUAAGGAUCGGCUAACUCCGUGCCAGCAGCCGCGGUAAUACGGAGGAUUCAAGCGUUAUCCGGAUUUAUUGGGUUUAAAGGGUGCGUAGGCGGUCGGAUAAGUUAGAGGUGAAAUCCCGAGGCUCAACUUCGGAAUUGCCUCUGAUACUGUUCGGCUAGAGAGUAGGUGCGGUAGGCGGAAUGUAUGGUGUAGCGGUGAAAUGCUUAGAGAUCAUACAGAACACCGAUUGCGAAGGCAGCUUACCAAGCUACUUCUGACGUUGAGGCACGAAAGCGUGGGGAGCGAACAGGAUUAGAUACCCCAGUAGUC